Molecule: ribosomal RNA, 80 nt
Filed under: Serratia marcescens
Lineage: Bacteria; Pseudomonadati; Pseudomonadota; Gammaproteobacteria; Enterobacterales; Yersiniaceae
Description: partial 23S ribosomal RNA
Source: RNAcentral
GGGUGUGUAAGUGCAGCGAUGCAUUGAGCUAACCAGUACUAAUGAUCCGUGAGGCUUAACCUUACAACACCGAAGGUGUU